This 75-nucleotide transfer RNA is filed under the name Candidatus Cloacimonadota bacterium. RNAcentral describes it as "tRNA-Gly". It matches the Rfam family "tRNA". Rfam says of the family: Transfer RNA (tRNA) molecules are approximately 80 nucleotides in length. Their secondary structure includes four short double-helical elements and three loops (D, anti-codon, and T loops). The record is from RNAcentral. Lineage: Bacteria; Pseudomonadati; Candidatus Cloacimonadota.
GCGAGGGUAGUUCAGUGGUAGAACGUCUCGUUGCCAACGAGAAGGUCGCGGGUUCAAUCCCCGUCCCUCGCUCCA